Y RNA from Callithrix jacchus (white-tufted-ear marmoset), 116 nucleotides. It matches the Rfam family "Y RNA". Rfam says of the family: Y RNAs are components of the Ro ribonucleoprotein particle (Ro RNP), in association with Ro60 and La proteins. The Y RNAs and Ro60 and La proteins are well conserved, but the function of the Ro RNP is not known. The record is from Ensembl. NCBI's taxonomy places the organism in Eukaryota, Metazoa, Chordata, Mammalia, Primates, Cebidae.
GGCUGGUCUGAAGGUAGUGAGUUAUCUCAAUUGAUUGUUCACUGUCAGUUACAGAUCAAACUCCUUGUUACACUCUUUCCCCAACCCUUAUAACUACUGUACUUGACUAUCCUAAA